CCAGAAGAUUCACGAUGUUCCCAUGGUUUCCCAAAUGACUGAGAAUUUUAAGCUCUGACAUCAACGCUUCCUUCUCAUCUGUAUGGGCACUGGCUAAAUAAGUAGAAAAGGAGGCUCAGUGUUCUCUACGGAUAUUGAUUGAAUGAUCUGGAGGACUUUUUUUUUAUUUUAGCACAAGGCCGCAACAUAACAAAAUGUGAGAGUCUGAAGACCCUGAAGAUGUAUUGUAUAUACUGAUAUAUGGGCGUUAUCUGGCAGUGAUAUGUAAAGAUGUUGCAGCACCAUUAACAUUAUGAAGACAUGAUGACAUUAGAAAGAAUCUGACCUUGGUGACUAUGUUUAGUCGGCCACGUCUUUCACAGCAUAAUCAUGUUUGGUUGUGACUCGAACAAUAGACUGACCUGUUUAUAUUUGUAAAAGAAGAACACCGAAAGCAAGAGGAAGAAG
Long non-coding RNA from Hyla sarda, 447 nucleotides. RefSeq lists it as uncharacterized. The transcript is spliced from 3 exons. Lineage: Eukaryota; Metazoa; Chordata; Amphibia; Anura; Hylidae. The record is from RefSeq and is a predicted model, not a curated record.